AUGGAACAACCCGAUAAUUAUGUGAAGAGAAAUCCUUCAUUUCUGGUAUGCCUCUUACAAACAUAUAAUCGUAGACUCAUAGUUUGACAGUGAAAAAGAAAAGGAGGAUUUGGCUAUGAAGUUGCUCAACAGUGACCUGAACCCAGAAAAACAAAAUCUAUAUGACAAAGCAAGACGCCACUACGCACAAGUUGAAAAGCAAGAUGGCAAUAAAAGAUUACGAGUUGCCAGAGUAAAUAGACAAGAUCGUUUAGAAGAAAAUUUAAUUGGGUGCGAUUCUCAAAAUGAUGAUAAACAAAUAUGGGAGUGGAUAACGGGUGACAAGGUGU
Molecule: long non-coding RNA, 329 nt
Organism: Neltuma alba
Lineage: Eukaryota; Viridiplantae; Streptophyta; Magnoliopsida; Fabales; Fabaceae
Exons: 3
Source: RefSeq, a predicted model, not a curated record